CUCAGAAUUGAACCGUGGCGGGCAGCCCUAACACAUGCAAGUCGAGCGGAAACAGGAAAGGAGCUUGCACCCUUUGCUGUCGAGCGGCGGAACGGGUGAGUAAUGCCUAGGGAACUGCCCAGUCGAGGGGGAUAACAGUUGGAAACGACUGCUAAUACCGCAUACCGCCCUACGGGGGGAAAGGAGGGGACGCGUUUUUCGAAGUGCGCCAUUUCGCCGAUUGGAUGUACCUAGGUGGGAUUAGCUAGUUGGUAAGGUAAUGGCUUACCAAGGCGACGAUCCCUAGCUGGUCUGAAGAGGAUGAUCAGCCACACUUGGAACUGAGACACGGUCCAGACUUCCUACGGGGAGGCAGCAGUGGGGGAAUAUUUCACACAAUGGGAGCAAACCCUGAUGCAGCCAAUUGGCCCGCGUGUGUGAAGAAGGCCCUCCGGGUUUGUAAAGCACCUUUCCAGCGAGGAGGAAAAGGUUGGAGUUUAAAUAAACCUAUAGCCUGUGACGUUACUCGCAGAAGAAGCACCGGGCUAACCUCGUGCCCAGCAAGCCGGGUAAUACCGAGGGGUGAAACCGUUAAGCGGGAAUUACUGGGCGUAAACCGUACGCAGGCGGUUUGUUAAGCAAGAUGUGAAAGCCCCGGGCUCAACCUGGGAAUUGCAUUUUGAACUGGCAAACUAGAGUCUUGUAGAGGGGGGUAGAAUUUCAGGUGUAGCGGUGAAAUGCCGUAGAGAAUCUGAAGGAAUACCGGUGGCGAAGGCGGCCCCCUGGACAAAGACUGACGCUGAGGUACGAAAGCGUGGGGAGCAAACAGGAUUAGAUACCCUGGUAGUCCACGCCGUUAAACGAUGUCUACUCGGAAAUUUGGUGUCUUUGAACACUGGGUUCCCCAAGCUAACGCAUUUAGUAGACCGCCUGGGAAGUACGGCCCAAAGGUUAAAACUCAAAUGAAUUGACGGGGGGCCCGCACAAGCGGUGGAGCAUGUGGUUUAAUUCGAUGGAACGCGAAGAACCUUACCUACUCCUUGACAUCCCACAGAAUUCGCUAGAGAUAGCUUAGUGCUUCGGGAACUGUGAGACAGGUGCUGCAUGGCUGUCGUCAGCUCGUGUUGUGAAAUGUUGGGUUAAGUCCCGCAACGAGCGCAACCCUUAUCCUUAUUUGCCAGCACGUAAUGGUGGGAACCUUUAGGGAGACUGCCGGUGAUAAACCGGAGGAAGGUGGGGACGACGUCAAGUCAUCAUGGCCCUUACGAGUAGGGCUACACACGUGCUACAAUGGUCGGUACAGAGGGUUGCAACGCCGCGAGGUCAAGCUAAUCCCACAAAGACCGGUCGUAGUCCGGAUCGGAGUCUGCAACUCGACUCCGUGAAGUCGGAAUCGCUAGUAAUCGUGAAUCAGAAUGUCACGGUGAAUACGGUUCCCGGGCCUUGUACACAACCGGCCCGUCACACCAUGGGAGUGGGCUGCACCAGAAGGUAGAUAGCUUAACCGUUCUUUCCCUCGGAGAGAAUGGAGGGCGUUUACCACGGUGUGGUUCAUGACUGGGGUGAAGU
RNAcentral lists this ribosomal RNA (1548 nucleotides) under Shewanella sp. MTW-1. RNAcentral's name for it is "bacterial SSU rRNA". It matches the Rfam family "Bacterial small subunit ribosomal RNA". Lineage: Bacteria; Pseudomonadati; Pseudomonadota; Gammaproteobacteria; Alteromonadales; Shewanellaceae. The record is from RNAcentral.